Molecule: non-coding RNA, 1473 nt
Organism: Cyanistes caeruleus (blue tit)
Lineage: Eukaryota; Metazoa; Chordata; Aves; Passeriformes; Paridae
Source: RefSeq, a predicted model, not a curated record
UAUUUCCUCCUGGAAUGAGGAAUGGAAGGGACGUUUUUGUAUGCAACGAGCUUAAGCUACAGAGGAAUAUGGAACCCCUUGUCUUGGUUGUACUCUCUUGUCUAGGCACUACUGGCUGCUUCAGCAAACUGUGGGCACCAGCAAUACUGUUCCCAGCUGCUGAUAUUCUCUGUCUUGUUAUCAUUUUUGCUAUGCUCAUGAGACUGCAUUUUACUGCAUCUUACUGCAUCAUUCAGCCACAACCACAGAUGAGCUUCUGUUAUAUAUAUUCUUCCUUUUUCAAGGUACCUGUUUCACCAGAAAAACUCUUGUCUCCUGGAUAAGUGCCACUAACAGCCUUUUACAGUCCUACCCUCUUCUGGGUGCAGCAGAGAAGUAGUUCCCUCAUAGUUCCUGCCUUCCCACUGCCCUGCCUCGCUGAGAGCUCAUUUCUGGAGUUCUCAAAUCCAGACACACAUUUGGAAGCAGGCAAGAGAGCAGCCAUGAUGUAAUCAGUGCAGAAUGAGAAGUUAUCCCACCAGGAUGAGUGAAAGCUGUAAAGUUAAUUUGCCCAAGUGAGGAAGGGGACGAAGAAGAAGAAGAAGAACUGGAGCCUUGCAUUCAGCAUUACCAGGCAUUUCCCUGCCCAUCACAUCAGGCUCACUAACAGGAGUUUGUUUUUGCAAAGGAUGUCAAAGGGAAACACCUAAAUGCUAGUAAUAGUAGUGAUAGUGAUAGUGAUAGUGAUAGUAAACCACUGCACUGUCUACCCACACCUCCCAGGCUAGUGCACCAUUUAAUCACGCACUGAACAUUGAAAAGGAAAAUUUCCAAGCAAUUGCUCUACCCUAUCCUACAAAUCCCAAGAGAGUAACAGCCCCACUGACAGCUGUGCUCAGUCACCAGCUCUACCUGCUGCAUAAUUCCAAAAUGCAAAAUUUCCUAAAUUUACCUUAAGCUGAAAUUACUAACACUGAAUGCACAGUGAUACUCAACAAAAUAUAUAGCAUGUGGAAUGAAGGUAAUUUGGAACACCGUGAUCAGCUUUCAUAUUAGAGGAAGAAUAUAAUGCUGAAACCAUCUGGCCUGCGGCUAUGAAAACACCAAAGAGACAUAAAACCGAGUUAAUGGCAGCAUGCCAAGGUCUUGUUAAAAAACAGCACAUCACUAAAACAAAGCAAGUGCUGAUGUAGCACCAGCAAAGGCUCAUUAAUGAGCCUGGAGACAGAGUGCUCUUAUAUUUCAUUACGCGCUUAACAGCCAUACCUGCCUCUGCAGAAGAAAGGGGCCGUGGAGAAGAGUGAAGGGAUGAAAACGAAAAUAGUUAUUUCUGCCAAAAGGUCACUCAUUCUGCGCAGCGUAGCAGAACCAAUUACACAACGUGUGUUUCAAACCUCUAAUUACUGUGGCUGCUUCUGCCUUGAUAUUGCUGGAGGGAAACAUCCGUGCAACGAAGCUGUGGUGUCCGUGACAGCUACAUCAUGUGCCAUGAUG